GACGAACGUUGGCGGCGUGCCUAAUACAUGCAAGUAGAACGCUGAAGGAGGAGCUUGCUUCUCUGGAUGAGUUGCGAACGGGUGAGUAACGCGUAGGUAACCUGCCUGGUAGCGGGGGAUAACUAUUGGAAACGAUAGCUAAUACCGCAUAAUAGCAGUUAUUGCAUGAUAACUGUUUGAAAGGUGCAAUUGCACCACUACCAGAUGGACCUGCGUUGUAUUAGCUAGUUGGUGGGGUAACGGCUCACCAAGGCGACGAUACAUAGCCGACCUGAGAGGGUGAUCGGCCACACUGGGACUGAGACACGGCCCAGACUCCUACGGGAGGCAGCAGUAGGGAAUCUUCGGCAAUGGACGGAAGUCUGACCGAGCAACGCCGCGUGAGUGAAGAAGGUUUUCGGAUCGUAAAGCUCUGUUGUAAGAGAAGAACGAGUGUGAGAGUGGAAAGUUCACACUGUGACGGUAUCUUACCAGAAAGGGACGGCUAACUACGUG
This 495-nucleotide ribosomal RNA is filed under the name uncultured bacterium. RNAcentral describes it as "partial 16S ribosomal RNA". It matches the Rfam family "Bacterial small subunit ribosomal RNA", at positions 28 to 507 of the family's 1533-position model. The record is from RNAcentral.